This 1275-nucleotide long non-coding RNA is filed under the name Bemisia tabaci. Its description in RNAcentral is "lncRNA ENSSSA2NGG005368". The record is from RNAcentral. Lineage: Eukaryota; Metazoa; Arthropoda; Insecta; Hemiptera; Aleyrodidae.
UGUAAUUUUUAAUGUUUUCCAAAUGCACGGUUUCUUACCAUACCAAACUCGUUGUUCUAACAUUCUUCUCAAUUAAUCAUUUGUAUUCAAAUGUUGCAGACCAAAAGCGGGAAGGAGUUAGUUGCAUUUCUUCUGAAUGACAUGAUUCUGCUGGCCCAGCAUGUCUCAGGGAAACCCUUGAAUCGGCAAUUUUCGUUUGAUCGGCAUUCCUCUGCUGUCUUUAAAAUUUAUAAGCAUCCUUUACUAUUGAGCGAAAUCAAAGUUCUGAGUAACAGCUCUGAAACAGAAACCUCAGAGUUGAGGCUGGAAUACAAUAAAGCUGUCAUUUCAAUGAAUGCAUCCUCAGUCAAUGAACGCAACCUUUGGCUCAAAAAAAUAAUGGAAGCCAAGAAAGAUCUAGCUGCUGGUGAAAAACUCAGCAGGAACAGCAAGAAAUCAGUAAGUUUGCCCUGAUUCUCGAAAAAUGUAAAUACACCGAGACAUUUUAUGUACAUUUUACCAUGUCUCUAUUUUUUAUCCCUACUUUUUUUGGUGCGUAUCUGAUGUAUACUGCCUAUCGUGAUCAUUAAAAUCCCUGACAGAUACAUGUAUUAAAUUCCGAAAGGGCUAAUGGGAAAGUAUGGAGGGCUGGUUGUGACUUUUGUUGAGCUUGUCAAAAAGUUACUAAUGCUUCAAUCGUUUCGGUCGAUACGUUUUUGCAAAUCUCUGUAGUUUCAGAUUUUUAAUUUGAAGAUAAACAGGUUGUGCUAUUUUAUUUCUUUUGAGAGCUGUAUAACGAGGCAUUGAAAUUAUGACUCUUUUUAUAUCAGUCAAAAUUUUGCCGGAUCCUCUAUCUGCUCUGAGAAAAAGAGAACACCUGAUCCAUCGAAGAAGGGAGUUUUUCAACACCUGCGCCUACCCUCAUAUAAUUCUUAAAGUCCCCACUACAGACUUAGAUAUCCCCUACCCGCAGAUUCUAUCAAUAUGUUUAUUGUUUGGUGCAUUUGCUCUUUAAAAUUUCUUACCAAAGUGUUCUACAGUUUGCUUCUUUCUAAUCUCAGGGACAAUGAAGGAUAGUUAUUUUUAGCUAACUUUUAUUUUGAAGGUUUUUUUUUUAACUGAUUAAUCAAAAGCUCAUGAGUCAACAAAUGAAAAACACUUAGAUAUCAGAGGAAACAUUAUUCAAAAUAUUUAUGUAAUGUUUUGCUCAAUAUUAUCUCCCCCCCCCCUUUCUUCUAAAGCUGGCAGGUAGUGUUGAGUAAUUUUAAGAUGGCGCUUUAGGAAAUAUAGAGUCUA